UACAGAGGGUGCAAGCGUUGUUCGGAAUUACUGGGCGUAAAGCGCGUGUAGGCUGCGACGUAAGUCAGGUGUGAAAGCCCUCAGCUUAACUGAGGAAGUGCACUUGAUACUGCGUCGCUUGAGUGUCGGAGGGGGUGGCGGAAUUCCCGGUGUAGAGGUGAAAUUCGUAGAUAUCGGGAGGAACACCUGUGGCGAAGGCGGCCACCUGGACGACAACUGACGCUGAGACGCGAAAGCGUGGGUAGCAAACAGG
RNAcentral lists this ribosomal RNA (253 nucleotides) under uncultured bacterium. Its description in RNAcentral is "partial 16S ribosomal RNA". It matches the Rfam family "Bacterial small subunit ribosomal RNA", at positions 524 to 776 of the family's 1533-position model. The record is from RNAcentral.